RNAcentral lists this ribosomal RNA (437 nucleotides) under uncultured Oscillospiraceae bacterium. RNAcentral describes it as "partial 16S ribosomal RNA". It matches the Rfam family "Bacterial small subunit ribosomal RNA", at positions 341 to 792 of the family's 1533-position model. Lineage: Bacteria; Bacillati; Bacillota; Clostridia; Eubacteriales; Oscillospiraceae. The record is from RNAcentral.
ACGGAAGGCAGCAGUGGGGAAUAUUGGGCAAUGGGCGAAAGCCUGACCCAGCGACGCCGCGUGAGGGAAGACGGUCUUCGGAUUGUAAACCUUAGUCAACAGGGAAGAAAGCAAUGACGGUACCUGUGGAGGAAGCCACGGCUAACUACGUGCCAGCAGCCGCGGUAAUACGUAGGUGGCAAGCGUUAUCCGGAUUUACUGGGUGUAAAGGGUGUGUAGGCGGGGAGGCAAGUCAGAUGUGAAAACUAUGGGCUCAACUCAUAGCUUGCAUUUGAAACUGUUUUUCUUGAGGAUCGGAGAGGUAAAUGGAAUUCCCAGUGUAGCGGUGAAAUGCGUAGAUAUUAGGAGGAACACCAGUGGCGAAGGCGGCUUGCUGGACGACAACUGACGCUGAGGCGCGAAAGCGUGGGGAGCAAACAGGAUUAGAUACCCUGGUA